CUUCUCUUGAGAGCGGCGGACGGGUGAGUAAUACCUAGGAAUCUGCCUGAUAGUGGGGGAUAACGUUCGGAAACGGACGCUAAUACCGCAUACGUCCUACGGGAGAAAGCAGGGGACCUUCGGGCCUUGCGCUAUCAGAUGAGCCUAGGUCGGAUUAGCUAGUUGGUGAGGUAAUGGCUCACCAAGGCUACGAUCCGUAACUGGUCUGAGAGGAUGAUCAGUCACACUGGAACUGAGACACGGUCCAGACUCCUACGGGAGGCAGCAGUGGGGAAUAUUGGACAAUGGGCGAAAGCCUGAUCCAGCCAUGCCGCGUGUGUGAAGAAGGUCUUCGGAUUGUAAAGCACUUUAAGUUGGGAGGAAGGGCAUUAACCUAAUACGUUAGUGUUUUGACGUUACCGACAGAAUAAGCACCGGCUAACUCUGUGCCAGCAGCCGCGGUAAUACAGAGGGUGCAAGCGUUAAUCGGAAUUACUGGGCGUAAAGCGCGCGUAGGUGGUUUGUUAAGUUGAAUGUGAAAUCCCCGGGCUCAACCUGGGAACUGCAUCCAAAACUGGCAAGCUAGAGUAUGGUAGAGGGUAGUGGAAUUUCCUGUGUAGCGGUGAAAUGCGUAGAUAUAGGAAGGAACACCAGUGGCGAAGGCGACUACCUGGACUGAUACUGACACUGAGGUGCGAAAGCGUGGGGAGCAAACAGGAUUAGAUACCCUGGUAGUCCACGCCGUAAACGAUGUCAACUAGCCGUUGGGAGUCUUGAACUCUUAGUGGCGCAGCUAACGCAUUAAGUUGACCGCCUGGGGAGUACGGCCGCAAGGUUAAAACUCAAAUGAAUUGACGGGGGCCCGCACAAG
This 850-nucleotide ribosomal RNA is filed under the name Pseudomonas psychrophila. RNAcentral describes it as "bacterial SSU rRNA". It matches the Rfam family "Bacterial small subunit ribosomal RNA", at positions 83 to 929 of the family's 1533-position model. The record is from RNAcentral. Lineage: Bacteria; Pseudomonadati; Pseudomonadota; Gammaproteobacteria; Pseudomonadales; Pseudomonadaceae.